Molecule: long non-coding RNA, 681 nt
Organism: Larimichthys crocea (large yellow croaker)
Lineage: Eukaryota; Metazoa; Chordata; Actinopteri; Sciaenidae
Exons: 3
Source: RefSeq, a predicted model, not a curated record
CACGGAGACAGAGUGAAAUCCAUAGAAACGUGAGAAGUAGAUUAAAUACAAAUACAUGCUGUCUUCAUGUUGUCAUAUCUGCAUAUUGUAUUAAGUAACUGUAUGUGUUGUUGGGGCUGUGGUCCAGACUUUGGAAAUAGUAACUCAUGUUUUAAGGUUUUAUUAUAAAAUAUGAAGGUUGAAAUGUGUUUCAAACCCUUUCUACAGUGCUUGGAUUGUAAACUCCACAGUAUUAAAAGUUGUUUGCUUGUCGUCUUGUGGUCAGACUUUAUUUUGGGUUUGUAACACUGUAACAUUAGUAAUAGGUUCAUAUUGUCAUAUUGCCACCAUGUGGUAUUACUAAUCUGAGAGUUUGAAAAGUUUGCUCUACAUUUUCAGGACAUUACAAGGUUUAUUUAAAAGGUACACACGUCUGUGUGACUGUGUGAUUGCAUUGAGGGUGGUACGAGGUGAAAUGCUGCCCUCUAUCUUUGUGGAAUGCGGCCAAGAAUGAUUUUAUACUCGACUCCGGCAGCAGGGCUGUGCUGCGCUCUUCUGAGGCUGAAAGAGACAACGGCUGCAGGUCAGGGAUCAGCAUGGAGGGUUGCCGUGGGUGACCAGGAACUCCAGCAUUUUAUUCAUGGCACCCAUGAAGAAGAUCAGCCUCAGCUGGGUCAUUGCCAUGGUGAUAAGACUCCACAG